Molecule: ribosomal RNA, 1237 nt
Filed under: metagenome
Description: bacterial LSU rRNA
Rfam family: Bacterial large subunit ribosomal RNA
Source: RNAcentral
UGAGUACGAGAUGCUACGGCAUCGAAGCAGUCUAUGUCAUACUUCCAAGAAAAGCUUGCAAUGUCAUAAACAAAUAAUGCCUGUACCAUAACCGACACAGGUGGGUAGGUAGAGUAUACUAAGGGGCGCGAGAUAACUCUCUCUAAGGAACUCGGCAAAAUGACUCCGUAACUUCGGGAGAAGGAGUGCCUUAUUUUUAUAAGGUUGCAAUAACAAGAUCCAAGCAACUGUUUACCAAAAACACAGGUCUCCGCUAAGUCGUAAGACGAUGUAUGGGGGCUGACGCCUGCCCAGUGCCAGAAGGUUAAAGAAGUUGGUUAGCAUUAGCGAAGCUGAUAACUGAAGCCCUGGUGAACGGCGGCCGUAACUAUAACGGUCCUAAGGUAGCGAAAUUCCUUGUCGGGUAAGUUCCGACCCGCACGAAAGGCGUAAUGAUUUUGAUACUGUCUCGGAGAGGGGCUCGGUGAAAUAGACUUGUCUGUGAAGAUGCGGACUACCUGCACCUGGACAGAAAGACCCUAUGAAGCUUUACUGUAACUUGAGAUUGAAAUUGGACUUUAUCUGCGCAGUAUAGGUGGGAGACGUUGAAAAUAUUCUUGCGGGAAUAUUGGAGUCAUCAGUGAGAUACCACUCUUAUAAUGUUAGAUUUCUAACUUUGUAUCAUUAUCUGGUCAAAGAACAGUUUCAGGCGGGCAGUUUGACUGGGGCGGUCGCCUCCCAAACGGUAACGGAGGCGCACAAAGGUUUCCUCUGAACGUGUAGAAAUCGUAUCCAGAGUGUAAAGGCAUAAGGAAGCUUGACUGUGAGACCUACAAGUCGAGCAGGGACGAAAGUCGGUCUUAGUGAUCUGACGGUGCUGAGUGGAAAGGCCGUCACUCAACGGAUAAAAGUUACUCUAAGGAUAACAGGCUGAUCUCCCCCAAGAGUUCACAUCGACGGGGAGGUUUGGCACCUCGAUGUCGGCUCAUCGCAUCCUGGGGCGGUAGUACGUCCCAAGGGUUGGGCUGUUCGCCCAUGAAAGCGGUACGCGAGCUGGGUUCAGAACGUCGUGAGACAGUUCGGUCCAUAUCCGGUGUAGGCGUUAGAAUAUUGAGAGGAGCCUUCUUUAGUACGAGAGGACCGAGAAGGACAUACCUCUGGUGUACCAGUUAUCGUGCCAACGGUAAACGCUGGGUAGCCAUGUAUGGAGAGGAUAACCGCUGAAAGCAUCUAAGUGGGAAGCCCACCUCAAGAUAAG